RNAcentral lists this ribosomal RNA (584 nucleotides) under uncultured bacterium. Its description in RNAcentral is "partial 16S ribosomal RNA". It matches the Rfam family "Bacterial small subunit ribosomal RNA", at positions 355 to 1375 of the family's 1533-position model. The record is from RNAcentral.
UGGGGAAUUUUGGACAAUGGGCGAAAGCCUGAUCCAGCAAUGCCGCGUGUGUGAAGAAGGCCUUCGGGUUGUAAAGCACUUUUGUCCGGAAAGAAAUCCUUGGCUCUAAUACAGUCGGGGGAUGACGGUACCGGAAGAAUAAGCACCGGCUAACUACGUGCCAGCAGCCGCGGUAAUACGUAGGGUGCAAGCGUUAAUCGGAAUUACUGGGCGUAAAGCGUGCGCAGGCGGUUUGCUAAGACCGAUGUGAAAUCCCCGGGCUCAACCUGGGAACUGCAUUGGUGACUGGCAGGCUAGAGUAUGGCAGAGGGGGGUAGAAUUCCACGUGUAGCAGUGAAAUGCGUAGAGAUGUGGAGGAAUACCGAUGGCGAAGGCAGCCCCCUGGCAAGUACUGACGCUCAUGCACGAAAGCGUGGGGAGCAAACAGGAUUAGAUACCCUGGUAGUCCACGCCCUAAACGAUGUCAACUAGUUGUUGGGGAUUCAUUUCCUUAGUAACGUAGCUAACGCGUGAAGUUGACCGCCUGGGGAGUACGGUCGCAAGAUUAAAACUCAAAGGAAUUGACGGGGUCAUAGCUGUUUCCU